GAUGAACGCUGGCGGCGUGCUUAACACAUGCAAGUCGAACGGAAAUAUAUUAUUAGCAAUAGUAAUAUAUUUUAGUGGCGGACGGGUGAGUAACACGUGGGUAAUCAACCUUCGACUAAGGAAUAACAAUGAGAAAUCAUUGCUAAUGCCAUAUAAGCUCACAGGGAUGCAUAUCACAGUGAGAAAAGAUUUAUCGGUCGGAGACGAGCCCGCGUCUGAUUAGUUAGUUGGUAGGGUAACGGCCUACCAAGGCGACGAUCAGUAGCCGGUUUGAGAGAGCGAUCGGCCACAUUGGGACUGAGACACGGCCCAAACUCCUACGGGAGGCAGCAGUGGGGAAUAUUGCACAAUGGAGGAAACUCUGAUGCAGCAACGCCGCGUGAAGGAAGAAUGUUUUCGGAUCCCCAACUUCUAUCGAUCGGAAAGAAAAAAAUGACGAGUACCGGGGGUAGGAAGCCCCGGCUAACUACGUGCCAGCAGCCGCGGUAAUACGUAGGGGGCGAGCGUUAUCCCGGAAUUACUGGGUGUAAAGGGUGAGUAGGCGGUUCUAAAAGUCAUAUGUGAAAUAUCCUGGCUUAACCGGGAGGGUGCAUAAGAAACUUUAGGACUAGAGUACAGGAGAGGUAAGCGGAAUUCCUAGUGUAGCGGUGAAAUGCGUAGAUAUUAGGAGGAACACCCAGUGGCGAAGGCGGCUUACUGGACUGAAACUGACGCUGAGUCACGAAAGCGUGGGGAGCAAACAGGAUUAGAUACCCUGGUAGUCCACGCUGUAAACGAUGAGUGCUAGGUGUCGGGUCGAGAGAUUCGGUGCCGGAGCAAACGCAAUAAGCACUCCACCUGGGGAGUACGGCCGCAAGGCUGAAACUCAAAAGAAUUGACGGGGGCCCGCACAAGCGGUGGAGCAUGUGGUUUAAUUCGAAGCAACGCGAAGAACCUUACCAAGGCUUGACAUACAAGUGAAGCAAUAAGAGAUUAUUGCGCCCUUCGGGGCGCUUGAACAGGUGGUGCAUGGUUGUCGUCAGCUCGUGUCGUGAGAUGUUAGGCUAAGUCCUGCAACGAGCGCAACCCUUGCCUUUAGUAGCUAACGUAAAGCCGAGCACUCUAGAGGGACUGCCGUGACAAACACGGAGGAAGGUGGGGAUGACGUCAAAUCAUCAUGCCCCUUAUGUCUUGGGCAACACACGUGCUACAAUGGCUGUAACAAAGCGAAGCGAAGCAGCGAUGCGGAGCAAAGCGCAUAAAAGCAGUCUCAGUUCGGAUUGUAGUCUGCAACUCGACUACAUGAAGUCGGAAUCGCUAGUAAUCGCGAAUCAGCAUGUCGCGGUGAAUACGUUCCCGGGCCUUGUACACACCGCCCGUCACACCAUGGGAGUUGGAUGCACCCGAAGCCAGUGACCUAACGCAAGAAGGAGCUGUCUAAGGUGAAGCCAGUGACUGGGGUG
This 1442-nucleotide ribosomal RNA is filed under the name uncultured Lachnospiraceae bacterium. RNAcentral describes it as "bacterial SSU rRNA". It matches the Rfam family "Bacterial small subunit ribosomal RNA". The record is from RNAcentral. Lineage: Bacteria; Bacillati; Bacillota; Clostridia; Lachnospirales; Lachnospiraceae.